RNAcentral lists this unclassified non-coding RNA (251 nucleotides) under uncultured Chaetothyriales. Its description in RNAcentral is "sequence contains 5.8S rRNA gene, ITS2, 28S rRNA gene". The stretch from base 1 to 52 matches the Rfam family "5.8S ribosomal RNA", at positions 103 to 154 of the family's 154-position model. Lineage: Eukaryota; Fungi; Ascomycota; Eurotiomycetes; Chaetothyriales. The record is from RNAcentral.
AACGCAUAUUGCGCCCUUUGGUAUUCCGAAGGGCAUGCCUGUUCGAGCGUCAUUAUCACCGUGUCAAGCUUGGCUUGUUGUUGGGCCCUUUUGUCACCUGGUGACAGGUCCAAAAGAUAAUGACCGCUGUCGUACCGACUCUAUAUGCAAUGAGCUGCUCACAGCACGCAUACUGGCAGUCAUACGGCCCCGUCUUCCCUUUAUUUCUGAAGGUUGACCUCGGAUCAGGUAGGAAUACCCGCUGAACUUAA